Molecule: long non-coding RNA, 1462 nt
Organism: Hylaeus anthracinus
Lineage: Eukaryota; Metazoa; Arthropoda; Insecta; Hymenoptera; Colletidae
Exons: 3
Source: RefSeq, a predicted model, not a curated record
GGUCUCAACCGUCAAAUUUAUUCAAUUGGAGCACAUUUUCGAACCCCGUUAACGGCAGACCGGGUUGGGAGAUUCCUGCCUUUGACUUCUAGCGAACGUUUCAUUGUCCGUUAUGUCCCGUGAGACGACGGCCAUAAAUAAUAUUCAAAGCAGCCUAGGUCGCGUCUUUCUCUACCGGUCUACUAAACCGUGGCCCAAGGAAACCUGGACGAAAACAAACAACCCUUGCUAGGAGGAAACGAAGUCUUUCCGCUGAAUGCCACGACCAAUCCCAAAACGCAAUUAUGCUAUUCUACCAAAGAUGGACGAAGUUCCAAACUAAGAGUUCCAUACAAAUUUAAUACACAAAGUUAAAUAACGUUUAACAUUAACAUUUCAGAUGAGGGAUGAAGAUGAUAGGAUUAAGAUUGUAGAAUUAAUAUUAUAUGAAGCAAGAGAAGAUUUAAUCUAGAGGAAAGACAGAGUAUUCGAAAAUCGACCUGGUAAACGGGGACAGACGAAGUUCGAAACUAAAUCAAGAGUUCGAUACAAAUUUAAUAGACAAAAUUAAAUAACAUUUAACAUUAACAUUUCAGAUAAGGAAUGAAGAUAAUAAAAUUGAGAUUGUAGAAUUAAUAUUAUAUAAUGCGAGAGAAGAUUUAAUUUCUCAGAGGUUCCAAAGAGAAUAUUCCACCCCACUGAGAUUAAUUUCUUCCUUUAGGCUAUCUUACUCUAAGGAAACUAAAAUGCUACUUUCUUCUUCCAGGAAAGGCAGAGUAUUCGAAAAUCUGACCUGAUUAACGACGACAGACAAAGUCCCAAACUAAAUCAAGAGUUCCAUACAAAUUUAAUACUCGAAGUUAAAUAACAUUUCAGAUGAGAGAUGAAGAUAACAGAAUUGAGAUUGUACAAUUAAUGUUACAAAUUGAAGGCCCGACAAAAUUUAAUCUAAAAGAAAGCCAAAGUAUUCGAAAAUCGACCUGGUUAACGGCGACAGAAGACGCGCGAUGAAACAAAGGAAAACGUAAACUAUCCAUCGGGCAAUGUCGAUGCGAACUUCGUUGAAAUUCUUCAGGCUCGCAUUCCACAAUCGAUUAGAGCGGUGCCCUCAACGUCUUCGGCCGAAGAGGAUGAAAAAAGUCUUUGGCAAAAGUCGAAGGAAGCCUUCGAAAUUCCGAGCACAAUCACAACAGUAAAUAGAAAAGCUGCGAGCCGAAGGGUCAAGGGGGGGGGGGGCCCCCAAUGGAAACACGUGCCAGGAACCACUGUGGAUCCUCGAGACUCAAGACAUCACCGACAACUCUUAUCAACGAUAUUCGAUACGCAAACGAUGGAUAAAUAACAUCCGAUUCGCCGAUUAUUAGAUAACGAUAAAAAUUUAUGAUGCGAUACGCGAAAUAAGAAACUAGAAUGAAAUUAGAAUGAAAUUAGAAUGAAAUUGGAAUGAAAUUAGAAAGGAAUGAGAAUUCAUGUUGUAUGAAGU